Molecule: RNase P RNA, 406 nt
Filed under: Candidatus Sulfotelmatobacter sp. SbA7
Lineage: Bacteria; Pseudomonadati; Acidobacteriota; Terriglobia; Terriglobales; Candidatus Korobacteraceae
Description: RNaseP_bact_a
Rfam family: Bacterial RNase P class A
About the family: Ribonuclease P (RNase P) is a ubiquitous endoribonuclease, found in archaea, bacteria and eukarya as well as chloroplasts and mitochondria. Its best characterised activity is the generation of mature 5'-ends of tRNAs by cleaving the 5'-leader elements of precursor-tRNAs.
Source: RNAcentral
CAGCCGGACCGGACGGUCGCUCGUCGCAAGACGGGAGGAAAGUCCGAACUCCGCAGAGCAGUGUGCCGGAUAACGUCCGGGAGGGUGGCCCAUNNNNNNNNNNUUCGACGGAAAGUGCCACAGAAAACAUACCGCCCGGGCCGCAAGGCUCAGGUAAGGGUGAAAAGGUGCGGUAAGAGCGCACCGCCGGCGCAGCAAUGCGGCGGGCAGGGCAAACCCCACACGGAGCAAGACCAAAUAGGGAGGGAAUUCCCAGUGAAGCUUCGGCUUUGCCGGGAACGCGUGCCGGCUCGGCGCGCCACAACCUCCGGGUAGGUCGCUUGAGCCUCGCAGUAAUGCGCGGCCCAGAGGAAUGACCGUCCCGCCGUAAGGCGGACAGAAUUCGGCUUACAGGUCCGGCUGCCAC